GACGAACGCUGGCGGCGUGCCUAAUACAUGCAAGUCGAACGCUGCUUAAGAAGAAACUUCGGUUUUUUCUUAAGCGGAGUGGCGGACGGGUGAGUAACACGUGGGGAACCUAUCCAUCAGCGGGGGAUAACACUUGGAAACAGGUGCUAAUACCGCAUACGGCUUUUUUUCACCUGAAAGAAAGCUCAAAGGCGCUUUACAGCGUCACUGAUGGCUGGCCCCGCGGUGCAUUAGCCAGUUGGUGAGGUAACGGCUCACCAAAGCAACGAUGCAUAGCCGACCUGAGAGGGUGAUCGGCCACACUGGGACUGAGACACGGCCCAGACUCCUACGGGAGGCAGCAGUAGGGAAUCUUCGGCAAUGGACGCAAGUCUGACCGAGCAACGCCGCGUGAGUGAAGAAGGUUUUCGGAUCGUAAAGCUCUGUUGUCAGCAAAGAACAGGAGAAAGAGGCAAUGCUUUUUCUAUGACGGUAGCUGACCAGAAAGCCACGGCUAACUACGUGCCAGCAGCCGCGGUAAUACGUAGGUGGCAAGCGUUGUCCGGAUUUAUUGGGCGUAAAGCGAGCGCAGGCGGUGAUUUAAGUCUGAUGUGAAAGCCCCCAGCUCAACUGGGGAGGGUCAUUGGAAACUGGAUCACUUGAGUGCAGAAGAGGAGAGUGGAAUUCCAUGUGUAGCGGUGAAAUGCGUAGAUAUAUGGAGGAACACCAGUGGCGAAGGCGGCUCUCUGGUCUGUAACUGACGCUGAGGCUCGAAAACGUGGGUAGCAAACAGGAUUAGAUACCCUGGUAGUCCACGCCGUAAACGAUGAGUGCUAAGUGUUGGAGGGUUUCCGCCCUUCAGUGCUGCAGUUAACGCAUUAAGCACUCCGCCUGGGGAGUACGACCGCAAGGUUGAAACUCAAAGGAAUUGACGGGGGCCCGCACAAG
Molecule: ribosomal RNA, 927 nt
Filed under: uncultured bacterium
Lineage: Bacteria
Description: bacterial SSU rRNA
Rfam family: Bacterial small subunit ribosomal RNA
Source: RNAcentral